Orcinus orca (killer whale) is the source of this 1704-nucleotide long non-coding RNA. RefSeq lists it as uncharacterized. Lineage: Eukaryota; Metazoa; Chordata; Mammalia; Artiodactyla; Delphinidae. The record is from RefSeq and is a predicted model, not a curated record. The transcript is spliced from 4 exons.
AUGUAAUUCAAAGUUAUUUUAUAGCAUUCAGCAUUUUCUAUUGGCAUAUUCCCAGAUAACAAAUAACUUCCAUUUGCAACUGGGAGAUCAGAAAGCACACAAUCCAACAGAAAAUUUUGUUUAUAUUUUCCAGAAUAAAUCAUUUUAAAAGCAAACUGAAGAGAGGAAAAGUGAAUAGGUACUGUACUGUCCUGACAAAGAAGCAAAUCAUUUUCAACUUUGUUAAGCAGAUUUGGGAAGAAAAAGAAAGACCACUGCUUCAGACUAAUAAGAUAAAGAAGCCAGGGGAAGGUUAGUAAGAACUUCAUGGGAAGGAAGGCCACUUGUCAGUGUUUUAGUCCAAAAUCUACUACUAAUAAGAUAUAUUAGGCAAGUCAAAACCGAAGGCAACAGAACCUGCCCAAAGAAAUGAAGUAAAAUGGAUGAAAGCACUAUGCUAAGAUUUAAUAUGAAAUAUCCAAUAGUAGCAAGAAUGCGUUGGAAGUAGCCUUUUCUCAUUCAUUUGCUGAAGGAAAGUGACUCCCAGCAAAUAAAAAAUUAUGUCUUGUAACGCCACAACAGUAACUCAAUUCUCUCUCUUCCUUCUCUAAUCUUAUAAUCUCCCAAAGUUAAAUUUAAACAUUAAAAUUCUCGAGGGAGAAGCAGCGGAAUAUAAUCAAAAGGGAUCUGGAGCCUUAUCUAGAACACACUUUCACGUUCCACCUGCGAGUCAGGGAAACGAACCUUGCCCUCCAAAUACCUCGGAACCGAUUCAGCUUUUCGGAUGAAAUGCUCGGGCGUUCACUGGCCAACUCGAAGGGGACACCACUUUAGAAAGCAACUUUGCCAAAUGGACCCAGGAGAGUUCACACAAACCAUCCUCGCGACUUUCAACAGCAACUACUAAGGAAUCGUGCCAAACCUCACUCAUCCAAUGACUUAGACAACAGCCUCCAGCCUGGUCUUUAAAUUAACAAGUUUGGAGGAAAGUUUGUCUUCGAUAAGGCGUCACAAUAUAUGGAAUCAAAAGAAGUAGGGUUUGAGUCCUGAUUCUAUCCAAACUGUUUCACCUUUCAUCUCAGGUUCAAGAAGAUGAUUAUUUAAAUCAUAAUGAUAACUCCGAGGGGGAAAGCUAUAAAAAGCACCUUGGAGCAGCUUUGUUCAUAGUUUCAUUUGUGCUACAAGAAUGAAUGGAGGGCUUCCCUGGUGGCGCAGUGGUUGAGAAUCCGCCUGCCGAUGCAGGGGACACGGGUUCGUGCCCCGGUCCAGGAAGAUCCCACGUGUCGCGGAGCGGCUGGUCUCGUGAGCCAUGGCCGCUGAGCCUGUGCUUCGCAACGGGAGAGGCCACAACAGCGAGAGGCCCGUGUACAGCAAAAAAAAAAAAAAAAAAGAAUGAAUGGAUAUUUUUUCAUCAUGACAAAAUAUAUGAACCUUACUCCUAAAGUCAGCUCCGAAACGAGGAAACUCUAGCAGCAUUCUCACUAAAGUCAGGAACAACAGAUGCCUGCUAUCUCCACUAUUAUUUAACAUUCUCUGGAGUUACUACCCAGUGUAAUUAGACUACUGGAAACAAUGAGGCAGAAGAAAAUAAGAAGUAAAUCUAUCUAUUUGCAGAUAAGAUGGUGAUAUACCUGGAAAACCCUAGAAUAGGGGUCAGCAAAUUAGGGACCACAGGUGAAAUUCAGCCCCUCAUCUGUUUUUUAAAUAAAGUUUUAAUGGAACACA